RNAcentral lists this ribosomal RNA (253 nucleotides) under uncultured bacterium. RNAcentral's name for it is "partial 16S ribosomal RNA". It matches the Rfam family "Bacterial small subunit ribosomal RNA", at positions 524 to 776 of the family's 1533-position model. The record is from RNAcentral.
UACGUAGGGUCCGAGCGUUGUCCGGAAUUAUUGGGCGUAAAGGGCUCGUAGGCGGUCCGUCACGUCGGGAGUGAAAACUCAGGGCUCAACCCUGAGCGUGCUUCCGAUACGGGCGGACUAGAGGUAUGCAGGGGAGAACGGAAUUCCUGGUGUAGCGGUGGAAUGCGCAGAUAUCAGGAGGAACACCGGUGGCGAAGGCGGUUCUCUGGGCAUUACCUGACGCUGAGGCGCGAAAGCGUGGGGAGCAAACAGG